UUUUAGCCCUGAUAGUAGCGGCAUACUUUUCCUGCUUUCUUUAAGCAGGGAAAGAUAUAGCGGAUAGCAGGAUUAGCU
Molecule: small RNA, 78 nt
Filed under: Flavobacterium degerlachei
Lineage: Bacteria; Pseudomonadati; Bacteroidota; Flavobacteriia; Flavobacteriales; Flavobacteriaceae
Description: Flavo-1 RNA
Rfam family: Flavo-1 RNA
Source: RNAcentral